GUAACGACUCUCGGCAACGGAUAUCUCGGCUCUCGCAUCGAUGAAGAACGCAGCGAAAUGCGAUACCUGGUGUGAAUUGCAGAAUCCCGUGAAUCAUCGAAUCUUUGAACGCAAGUUGCGCCCGAGGCCAUUAGGCCUAGGGCACGCCUGCCUGGGCGUCACA
Molecule: ribosomal RNA, 163 nt
Filed under: Psittacanthus rhynchanthus
Lineage: Eukaryota; Viridiplantae; Streptophyta; Magnoliopsida; Santalales; Loranthaceae
Description: 5.8S ribosomal RNA
Rfam family: 5.8S ribosomal RNA
About the family: 5.8S ribosomal RNA (5.8S rRNA) is a component of the large subunit of the eukaryotic ribosome. It is transcribed by RNA polymerase I as part of the 45S precursor that also contains 18S and 28S rRNA.
Source: RNAcentral